This 253-nucleotide ribosomal RNA is filed under the name uncultured bacterium. RNAcentral describes it as "partial 16S ribosomal RNA". It matches the Rfam family "Bacterial small subunit ribosomal RNA", at positions 524 to 776 of the family's 1533-position model. The record is from RNAcentral.
UACGGAGGGUGCGAGCGUUGUUCGGAAUCACUGGGCGUAAAGGGCGUGUAGGUGGUUGCGUAAGUCUGGCGUGAAAUAUCUCGGCUUAACCGAGGCAGGUCGUCGGAUACUGCGUAACUGGAGGACGGUAGAGGCGUGUGGAAUUCCGGGUGUAGUGGUGAAAUGCGUAGAGAUCCGGAGGAACACCAGUGGCGAAGGCGACACGCUGGGCCGUACCUGACACUGAUGCGCGACAGCAUGGGGAGCAAACAGG